This is a long non-coding RNA of Aedes albopictus (Asian tiger mosquito), 3275 nucleotides long. RefSeq lists it as uncharacterized. The transcript is spliced from 2 exons. Lineage: Eukaryota; Metazoa; Arthropoda; Insecta; Diptera; Culicidae. The record is from RefSeq and is a predicted model, not a curated record.
GACAGAAAUGCUGACAUAGAUUAUAUAUAUUUGAACGCUAAGUAGAAUUUGACGAAACAAAAAAAAAUCCACAAUCCCGAACAUACAACAAAAGGAACAAUUCAAAAUAACAAUGAAAAAGUGAAUAUAACUAGCAUUAUCUUCUACUACUACCUACCUUAAACCAAUAAACACACACACAAAGGAAAAAGAAAACAUUGUAGCACUACAACUACUAUUAGGGAAAUCUCUCUGAAAAGUGUCAACCAAAAACAAACCAUACAAACAAAGAACAAAUAAGGAUUGCGGCAAUGUGAUGAACGCAGCGCUUGAAGUGGACCAUUGCUUGAUGAAAGCCGCCAAUUCCCUUUAGCUAUCACUAUCACAAAUACACACACAUGCACUCUGUAAUAGUAGCUAUAAACCGUGAAUUGCGCAGCGUACUAGACUGAAAAGAAAAAAAAACUAACUGAAUGACGCAUGGUAGGAGUAGUACUAGUUGCUUGAAGUUUGACGCAGAUUUUUGUUUAGUUUGCCUAUUAUUUUUUCUAAAUUUUGUGAAACGGUGAUGUACUAGAAGAUGAAUGACAGGAAUGCUGUAAUAUAAUUGUGUACCAAAUAUGGAUUCCGAGAGUUGUACCAGAAUAUGGAUUGAUACGAGCUGCUUAUAUGACGAAGUGAAGUACUAGAUCGAUGCGAGUGGAAGUGGAAGCUCGUCUCAGUCGAUUUGUCUGUGUGCUCAUUCUGCGAAAGGAGUGACGUGACAAAAGUCAGAGUCGUACAACGAGGUGAGAAAUCUUGACUCGAAUCAGGGGACUUUCCAUUAGAUUUACAGGACGAAUCACUUCAUUCGUUUUGAGGUUUCGCACCUCGACUCUGACUUUUCUCACGUCGUUCUUUACAGAAUGAGCACAAACUACUCUUCAUGAGAUCGAAGUUGUGUUCAUUCUGCGAAAGGAGUGACGUGACAAAAGUCGGAGUCGUAUAUCGAGGCGAGAAAUCCCGACUCGAAUGAAGUUACUCACCGGGUAAAUCAAAUGGAGAGUCACUUCAUUCCAGUCGAGAUUUCUCAGUUCGAUAUGCGAGUCGAGCUCCGUCGCGUCACUCCAUCCGCAGAAUGAGCACAUCUGGUAUAUUAAAAUUGUGAGUUAUUCGAGCAGUAUGUAUUGCUAAUUGUACUCAUUCUGCGAAUGGAGUGACGUGACAAAAGUCAAAAUCGUAUUUCGAAUGGAAUCAAAUGGAGAAUCACUACAUUCGAAUCGAUGUUUGUCAUCUCGAUAAACGACUCCGAUUUUUGUCUCGCCACUCCAUUCGCAGAAUCAGCACAAAUUAUUCUUCAUGAGAUCGAAAUUGUGCUCAUUUCUGCAAACAGAGUGACGUGAAAAAAGUCGGAGUGACUCUCCAAUGGAAUUACAUGGCGAGUCACUUCAUUCGAGUCACCUCGAAAUACGAUUCUGACUUUUGUUGCGUCACUCUAUUCGCAAAAUGAGCACAAAUCAAAUGUUAGAAAACCGCUCAUUUUCUCUAAAUCAAUCUAGUACUAGUAUCUGUAGAUUAUGUUCUAGUACAUUAUCGAAAUAAAAAAUACUUCAAAAACGAAUCGCUAUUUCUUAACAAACAAACAAAAUAAAAAUAGUCAAUGAUUCCAAAUUUCCGAUUUCCUUUGCAUCUAGAAAAGUGUUAAAAAGAUUCAAAAAAUACAAACAUUGUUUUUGUUAUAUUUGGUGUGCCUUACGAAAAAAAAGCAGUAAUAGAUUACAAUUGUUUCCAUUCUCACAUACUUGUUCAACUCAUCACAACCAAAAAUAAAAUAAAGAAGAUUACAAAAAAAAUAUGAGAGAGUAAACACCGACUACAUAAAGCAAACAAAAAACAGGAACAACAAAGAGAACUUCUGUUUGUGAUCGAAAAAAAUAAUUAACCCAACAAAAAAAAACAACUAAAAGAAAAAAUGAUUGCCUUGCGAAAAAUAACACAACAAAGAAGAAAGAAGAGGACGACGACGCGAAAAGAAAUGCAAACACAAACAUACAAGAACAUAAAAAAGAGAAAAAUACCCACACAAACACACAUAUAUUUAAACAGAGUAAUCAAAAAAUAAGAAGAAAGUUGUACAUAAAGACAAACUAAAAAUAAACAAACAGAGAAGGUCAUGGGAAACAUAAAUCUAAAUUAAACAAAAAAAAUCAACUUUUAGUUCGAAAAGGUCACCCGAGAUGGCGUCGCGUUAGCAAUAUUUACAAUGAGUUCCUUCCCCCAUUCUCUUCCUGCUCUGGGGAGGAACUCAGGGACCAACACAAUUGGCGAACUAAAUGGUUAACACCGCCCCCGCUUUUGCUGCGAGAAUUUAGCGUUGAAAAAGUGAUUUAUUUGGAGCUGGCUCCGCUGUUUUUAUCCUAACAAAAAAAAAAUGCAAUUUUAACACAUUAAGAACCCCUAAACUGUUGACAUUCGCUUUUCAGUUUUUGAACGCGUCUCGGGUGCGACCUGCUCGGAUUGAAACGAAAUUCAAAACAUAAAAUUCCAUACCCAUGCGGAAAAAAAUGACAGAAGUGUACUUGAUGCGAUCGCGAUCACACACCGAUCGUAAAAUGGAGUUAAAACCCGGAUAGAUUCGGCUAUAUUUUGGAAAAACAAGUGUGGAUCCGGAAAUUUUAGGCUAGAGUUCCUAAAGCGCGGAAAGUUUUUAGUCGACGAUCUCGUUGUUUCGUCAGCAAAUGUCAAAAUAAGGUUGUGUUUAUUUUCCGAACUGAGCUAAACAAAACAAUAGUGAAAGAAAAAAACUGUCGUCAGUGACACUCGUUUUGCCACGUGCAUUUAGGCGCCGAGGCGGUUUUAUUGAGCGUCACUUUUUAGGUAAACGGAUUUUUUAGAACCGCAAUUGUUUCAGUGUUUUGUUUUUCUCGACAAGUCGACCGAAACACAGCAAAGAAAAAAAAAACUCAAACAAAGUAAAGAGAGUGAGAUUUUUAGGAAAUGCCCGACUCCCCGACAUCGGAAGUAGCGAAAUUACCAGUAGAUUUCCGGCGAAUCUAGGAGGAAAAAUCAAAUAUGAAACCAUCAAAAUCAACCAAAAAGAGAGAAUCAAAUUGGAACAGUGAAGAAAAGUGGAAAGAACUCAAAAUCAGAAGAAAAUCGGAAACGAAAGAGGAAAAAACGAGAAAUCACACACACACAUACGCAGACACAUGCAUAUUUAUAAAUAUAUGUUUGUUAAGAAUUUUUUCACUGUACAUAUGUUUAUAUCGAUUGAUUAUUAAUUAAUGAUUAAUUACCGACAGGAAACGAAACAAAAA